CCUACGGGAGGCAGCAGUUCAGAAUCUUGCACAAUGGGCGAAAGCCUGAUGCAGCCAUGCCGCGUGUGCGAAGAAGGCCCUCGGGUCGUAAAGCACUGUCAGGAGGGAAGAAAUUGACGGUACCUCCAGAGGAAGCCACGGCUAAUUACGUGCCAGCAGCCGCGGUAAU
This 169-nucleotide ribosomal RNA is filed under the name uncultured bacterium. RNAcentral describes it as "partial 16S ribosomal RNA". It matches the Rfam family "Bacterial small subunit ribosomal RNA", at positions 338 to 524 of the family's 1533-position model. The record is from RNAcentral.